Long non-coding RNA from Prosopis cineraria, 3478 nucleotides. RefSeq lists it as uncharacterized. The record is from RefSeq and is a predicted model, not a curated record. NCBI's taxonomy places the organism in Eukaryota, Viridiplantae, Streptophyta, Magnoliopsida, Fabales, Fabaceae. The transcript is spliced from 3 exons.
UUCGAACGUCUCAACCCUCCAACGGUCACAAAAUUAGUAGCCGUUUAGUUCCUUAAAAUCAAAAUACCCAGUGUCAUGUCGCAACUUACUGCAGUUCACUGUCAACCAUAAGUGGUGAUUUCUCAUUCGAAUAAUCCGAAUUCGGUUAAGCCCUCAAGCUUGUGAUGUAAAUUUUUCUUGUGUGUUUGAAUCAACGUGGCUGGAAAUUGAAGUUGUUCCUUGUGAGGAAGAAGAGGAGGAGCAGGAGGAGGAGGAAGAAGACGAUAGGAGAAGGAAGUCAGAGACGAAAUAUUUAUGCUCUUCCAUUGCUUCGCAGCUUCUGAUCCUACGAGUUAUCGUUUUUCAGUCUUAUGGGAUUCAUCCUGUGUAGAUUCAUUGCUAUUUUCAUUUUAUAACGACUCUUCAUCAUCAAUGAUCCUGAAGGGCCUUCCUCAGAUCAUCUUGUUUGGGGUCAAAUGGAGAACUAUGCUGUAGGGAGGGAAAAACGCAGACAGCUAUUUUUAAUGCUUUGUUAGCUUGAAGCAGAUAAGUCUAAGGUAAAUCAGCUGAUCCAGGUAUAUUUCUUUUAAACAAGUCCUAAUCAAUUGAGUCAUUGAUUAUUGCUGAGAUUGAUUAAGUGGGUCAGAAUGUACUAUCAUUUUGAACAUUUUUUUUUUUAUCUUGAAGGAAAGAGAGAGAAAAAGAACUGGUGUUUGAAAGUCUGCUGACAAAUUAGUUGAAUUGUUCUAUAUUUAAUAUUUCCUCAGAUGUUGUUAGUGCAUCUGUUAUAAAAACUACUAAAUCUGUCAAAAGUACGAGACAUAUGACUUUGUUUUGAGUUUGUCCAAAGUAGUAAACCUGUUAUUUAAGCAUGAAAUAAACAACCUUGUUCUCUGAACAAUAUUUUGAAAACUCUUUCUAGGGGCUGACCCUUUUCUUAUGGCUUUGUUUUGGCUUCCUUUUCGUGCUCUACACAAAGUUUUAAUGAAUGUCUCUUUAAUAACUUUAUUACAAGCUUAAUAUUGUUUUCCUCCUAAAGUCCUAUUCAGCAUCUCUUUUUCUGAUUUUUUUAUCAAUGGAGAAAAAGGACUAAUCUUGUCACUGGUUGAUAUAAAUUAUCAACAUGAUGAUGCAACUGAAAUGUGUCAGAUGUUUUUUAGUUGUUAGGCCUUCACAGUUGGAUGGGAUCAUCCUUGUUUACAUCACUUUCUUUUUUAACCUUACCCAUCUUUCUUUCCUUAUCAUGUCAAAAGUUUUUGGGAGAAUCGCGUUGAAGGACCUUUUAAAAAAAUUAUUUACAAAUAAAGACUAAUAACAAGUCUCAUUCAAAAAAUAAAAAAAAAUAAAAAGGUAUGUUUUUAUUUUAACAAUAAUCCCUUCUAUAUUGGUCCUUGUUUGUCAAUAAUUUUCUUAAGGGAUCCUUAGAAGUGAUUCUCCUAAAGUUUUUUGACUGAUCUUAUGUUUAGUAUUUAAUAUGUUGUCUGUAAUGAGUUUAUUUUGGACAAUGACAUUGUUCUUGAGCAAGGAAAUGAUCCUACCUAAGCAAAGGUAUUCUAACAGCUAAUGAGCUCUCUCUUUUUUAAGUUUUUGUUAUCAUAUACUAAUGAAAAUGUCAUCCAUAUUAAAAAAAAAAAUUCAUUUCCAAGUUCUUAAAUUUUAGGCAGACCGGAUUGUGAUUUGUUUAGGAAAACCUAAUGACAUAUCUAAAUAUUUGCCUUUUUAAUUACUUCUGACUUUAGAGUUACAUUAUAGUUGCAGUAUGCACCAUGCAAUUAUAGAUAUUGAGAUAUAGGCAAAGGUAACCAAUUUUUGGCUUUUAGUUAAAAGUUAAAAGUUGUUUGGCUAAUUUUUUUUUAUGAAACCGCAUUUGGGGAUUUGGUCAAUGUAACUUGUGGGAACUUUUGCAAUGUGCAUUUGGGGUUGGGGUAUUAAUGAGAAAGUUAAAAUAUGUACCUAUUUUUUAUAUUACCAUGCUACCCUUAUUUCUAUCAAUUUGCUUUGUCUUUAUGCAUUGGUAAACAUUUUGCAAGCCUUACACUCUUGAUUCUUUGCCAAAUAUUAACAUUGAAAAAUUUAGUUUUCAAAUCUAUGCAAUAUUUGUGCAAAAAGAAAAAAAAUCUAUACAAUAUUAAUUACAUUGUUUAUUUUUUGAAUUAUUAUGUUAUUUCGAAUAUGUAAGAUAAAUGUAUGUGUGUUUUUUUCCCCAAUAAUCUUACACAAGACACAAGAUAUGAGUAUUUAGUUUGAAAUGAAGAAGCAAUAUAAAUAAAAAAAUAUAAUUUUAUCUUUUAAUUUUGGUUUUAAAAUAUUUAUCAUUGAUUUUUUUUGCUUAUUUUUAAAUACUUUUACAAUAUCAAGUGGAUGUGGCAUAGAUGGUAAUAGUCUAGGCUCUUUAAGCAUCAUUUUAAGGUUCAAUUACUGUAGGCUUGUAUGAAAAAACAUUAUUUCAGAGAGAACAACUCCUUAAAUGGCGUUCAAAUUUCUUGAGAGAUUAGUCUCAUGGCUGCUAGCUGUUGGGAUACCUUGGACAGUGAAAAUAUAUUUACAAUUAAUUAAUUAGCAUAUUUUUGUGUUACCAAUAUUAUUGGUAAAGAUUAAUGAAACUUGAUUUACUAUCUUAUUUAGGAGAUUCGCUUCCAACAUGUCUUUUUCAUAUAUAUCCCAAGUGAAACUUGAUUGUGAUAUAACUUGUUAGAAUUGAGAUUCAAAUGUGUGUGUGAUUAGGCCUUGUCUUUUUCAUACAAGUACCAAUCGAAACUUGACUAUGGUAUCACUUAUUAUAGGUUUUCAACUUUAUGCAAUUAUGGCUUUCAAAAUCUUCUUUUUCAUAUAAGUUCCAGCAAAACUUGAUUGUAAUACCAUUUAUUAAAGAUUGGAACUCAAACAUGAUGCAAUUAUAGGCUUCCAACAUUGUGCAAUUACAGGUUUUCAACACUAUAAUAUUAGGCUUCUAACAUUAUCCUUUUCAUAUAGGUCCCAAAUGUGUGUGCCAGGCUUCCAACGUUGCAUAAUUAUAGGUUUUACACAUAGGUAUCACUUAUUUGGGAAUUGAGGCUCAAAUGUGUGCAAUUACAGGCUUUCAAAAUCAUUCUUUUCAAAUCAUAUAAGUCUCCAACAAAACUUGAUUGUCAUUACAGGUUUUCAACAUUCUGUACUUACGGGCUUUUAAUAUCAUCCUUUUCAUAUAGGUCUUAAACAUGUAUGCAAUUAUAGGUUUUUAACAUUGUGAUUAUGGGCUUUCAACAUUAUCUUUUUAUACAGGUGCCUAAUGAAACAUGCAAUUAUAGGUUUUCAACUUUGUGCAAUUAUAGGAUUCCAAAGUUUUUUUUUUUUUUUCAUGCAGGUUCCUACCAAAACUUAAUUAUGAUAUCAUUUAUUAGGAUUUACUUCCAAUAUUGUGUAAUUAUUGGUUUUCAACACUGUGAAAUUAUGGGCUUCCAACAUCUUCUUUUUCAUAUAGGUCUCAAACUUAUUUGCAAUUACAAGUUUUAAUUAUAAU